Molecule: transfer RNA, 76 nt
Filed under: Candidatus Peregrinibacteria bacterium
Lineage: Bacteria; Candidatus Peregrinibacteriota
Description: tRNA-Ser
Source: RNAcentral
GGGUGCACAUGUACCGAGGUGGCGAGGGUCUUUUGCAAGGACUCUGUGUUAGGUUCGACUCCUAUUGCAUCCACCA